ACAUUUAUAAAAAAUACAUUAAAAAAAUAAAAUACAACAAAAUACAAAUCCAAAUUAUGGACCUUUACAUACUUCCAAAAAUAAACAAACGCUUAACACAUUAGUGGGAGAUAAUUUAUUAGUGGGAGAUAAAUUAUUAAUUUAUAAAAACAAUUUUAAAAAUAAAACAAUUGAUGCUAAUAUAAGGGAUGGUGACAAUAUAAGGGAUGGUGACAAUAUAAGGGANNNNNNNNNNAAUAUAAGGGAUGGUGACAAUAUAAGGGAUGGUGACAAUAUAAGGGAUGGUGAUAAUAUAAGGGAUGGUGACAAUAUAAGGGGUAGUGACAAUAUAAGGGAUGGUGACAAUAUAAACAAUAAUACUAUUUCUUUGUUGAAAAAUGAAUAUUCUGAUCGUAAUACCAAUUGUUAUAGUAGUUCGGCUGCCUAUACUGACACUAAUAAACAAGAAGAAAAAUCGAAAAAUAAUAAAAAACAAUUCUUACGGAACGGUUAUAAUGGUAAUAUGAAACCAAUUGAUAUAAUGGGAGAUUUUUCGAAAGAAAACGAACAAACUGAGCAAAAUAAACAAGAUGGUCAAGGAAGAAAAGAUGUGGAAGAGAUGACGAUGAAGUUAUUAUAUGAAAAUCACAUCGAUAAAAAUAAUGUUGAUAAAAAUAAUGUUGAUAAAAAUAAUGUUGAUAAAAAUAAUGUUGGUAAAAAUGUUGGUAAAAAUAAUGCUAUUGAAACAGACGAAGAGAUAUAUAGAGGAGAGAAAACAAAAAAGAUAAAGAAACGAUCUGCAUACAAUAAGAAAAAACAUCACUCCACUACCAAUGAAAAUACUUAUACAAAAGAAGAAUUAAAAAAAAAUAUAAUUAUUUCGAAAUCAGCAGAGAAAUAUAUGGAAAUGGUUUUAUCAUUAUUAUAUAAGAAUGUAAAUUUUGAAAAUAAAAAAAAAAUAAAUUUACAAGAUGAGAAAAACGAAUUUCUUAAUUUUUUUGAAUAUAUGGAUAAUAAUACAAAUAAUUGUUUAAGAAAAAAAUAUAAUUUUUUAAAUAAUUUAAAUUAUAAAGAUAAUAGUUUAAGUUGUUUAGAAACAGGAGCUAUAAUAUCACACCCCUUUUUACCAUUUUUUGCUCUUGUACUUAUUAACAACAACCAAAAUGACAUUAUAACAAGUGAAAAUAAAAAAUAUAAUUUAAAUGCAUCUACUAUAGGUAAUGUUAGUGGUACUACAACAACUACAGAUAUACAUGGUAGUACUACUACCAACAAUAAUAAUGUACAAAAUGUAUAUAAAAACAAAUUUAGAAUUAAAUUAUGUAGCUAUUCUAAUACAUAUAAUAAUAUUUCGUAUAAACAUGGUGCAAUUUCAACUAUAUCUUGGAAUAGUACAGGAAAUCUUCUAUUUGUAGGUGAUAACAUCGGUUAUUUAUAUAUAUAUAAUAUUUUUAUGGGAACAUUUAUGGGUACAUUUACUAAUAAAAAAAAAAAAAAAAAAAAAAAAAAAAUGUUAAACAAAAGAGGUUAUAUUUUAAAAGAAGCAAUGUGUGUAAUCAAACUGCAUGACGAAAUUAUAGAUGUCCAAUGUUUAGGUGAAAAUAAUUUUUUUUUAAUAAGUAUAGGAAAAGGUGUAAAUGUUAAAUCUGUUAAUAAACAUACUGUAUGUAUAAAUACUAAUAUGAUAACAAAUGAAUUGGAAGAAGAAUUGCAACGUAAAAAUGAGGAAAGAUAUAAAAAUAAAAACUCGGAAUGUAAGAAAGUUGUUACUGAUGGUGAUGCUACUGGUGGUACUGUUGCUAGUGGUACUGUUGCUAGUGAUACUGUUGCUAGUGAUACUGUUGCUAGUGGUACUGUUGCUAGUGGUACUGUUGCUAGUGGUACUACUACUACUACUACUACUACUACUACUACUACUACUACUGCUACUACUGCUACUACUACUACUACUACUGCUACUACUACUACUGCUGCUACUACUACUACUACUGCUGCUACUACUGCUACUACUACUACAUUAACAUCUAACAGAUAUAACAAUGCAAAUCAAUUGAAAAAACCCGAACUGGUUUCUUUAAUACCAUCAUCAGUUUUAAGUACUGCUGCCAACUUAAAAAUAGAAAAAAAUACACAGGAGAAUAAAAUGGAUCAAACUAUGGUUGAUACAAGCAUGACUGAUACAAGUAUAGCGGAUACACAUAUGGUUGAUACGAACAUAAUUCUUAAUACGAAUGAUAAACAAUCACAACUGAUAGAAACAAAAAAAUUAAUGAACACGGGAGAUAAACAAGGAAAUAUGAAUAGUUUAUAUUAUUAUGAAAAUAACAAACAAACACCCAUUUCGAAUAAAAGUGAUGAAAAUGAGUUAGAACUUAUACGCAGCACUAACAACAAUUACAAUAACAAUAACAAUAACAAUAACA
This 2402-nucleotide long non-coding RNA is filed under the name Piliocolobus tephrosceles (Ugandan red Colobus). Its description in RNAcentral is "lncRNA (ENSPTEG00000009894.1)". The record is from RNAcentral. Lineage: Eukaryota; Metazoa; Chordata; Mammalia; Primates; Cercopithecidae.